RNAcentral lists this transfer RNA (72 nucleotides) under Salmo salar (Atlantic salmon). It matches the Rfam family "tRNA". From Rfam's summary of the family: Transfer RNA (tRNA) molecules are approximately 80 nucleotides in length. Their secondary structure includes four short double-helical elements and three loops (D, anti-codon, and T loops). Further hydrogen bonds mediate the characteristic L-shaped molecular structure. tRNAs have two regions of fundamental functional importance: the anti-codon, which is responsible for specific mRNA codon recognition, and the 3' end, to which the tRNAs corresponding amino acid is attached (by aminoacyl-tRNA synthetases). tRNAs cope with the degeneracy of the genetic code in two manners: having more than one tRNA (with a specific anti-codon) for a particular amino acid; and 'wobble' base-pairing, i.e. permitting non-standard base-pairing at the 3rd anti-codon position. Lineage: Eukaryota; Metazoa; Chordata; Actinopteri; Salmoniformes; Salmonidae. The record is from Rfam by way of RNAcentral.
CUCCCUGUAGCUCAGUUGGUAGAGCAUGGUGUUUGCAAUGCCAGGGUUGUGGGUUUGAUUCCCACGGGGGGC